GGCGGCGUGCUUAACACAUGCAAGUCGAACGGGAUCCAUCAUGCUUUGCUUGGUGGAGAGAGUGGCGAACGGGUGAGUAAUGCGUGACCGACCUGCCCCAUACACCGGAAUAGCUCCUGGAAACGGGUGGUAAUGCCGGAUGCUCCAGUUGAUCGCAUGGUCUUCUGGGAAAGCUUUCUCGGUAUGGGAUGGGGUCGCGUCCUUAUCAUCUUGACGGGGGGGAUAACGGCCCCCCGUGUCUUCGACGGGUAGCCGGUCUGAGAGGGCGACCGGCCACAUUGGGACUGAGAUACGGCCCAGACUCCUACGGGAGGCAGCAGUGGGGAAUAUUGCACAAUGGGCGCAAGCUUGAUGCAGCGACGCCGCGUGAGGGAUGGAGGCCUUCGGAUUGUAAACCUCUUUUAUCGGGGAGCAAGCGAGAGUGAGUUUACCCGUUGAAUAAGCACCGGCUAACUACGUGCCAGCAGCCGCGGUAAUACGUAGGGUGCAAGCGUUAUCCGGAAUUAUUGGGCGUAAAGGGCUCGUAGGCGGUUCGUCGCGUCCGGUGUGAAAGUCCAUCGCUUAACGGUGGAUCCGCGCCGGGUACGGGCGGGCUUGAGUGCGGUAGGGGAGACUGGAAUUCCCGGUGUAACGGUGGAAUGUGUAGAUAUCGGGAAGAACACCAAUGGCGAAGGCAGGUCUCUGGGCCGUUACUGACGCUGAGGAGCGAAAGCGUGGGGAGCGAACACAAGGAGAUACCCUGGUAGUCCACGCCGUAAAC
RNAcentral lists this ribosomal RNA (760 nucleotides) under uncultured bacterium. RNAcentral's name for it is "bacterial SSU rRNA". It matches the Rfam family "Bacterial small subunit ribosomal RNA", at positions 38 to 807 of the family's 1533-position model. The record is from RNAcentral.